UCCGGUUGAUCCUGCCGGACCUGACUGCUAUCGGAUUGAUACUAAGCCAUGCGAGUCAUUGUAGCAAUACAAGGCAGACGGCUCAGUAACGCGUAGUCAACCUACCCUAUGGACGGAGAUAACCCCGGGAAACUGAGAAUAAUACCCGAUAGAACAUUAUACCUGGAAUGGUUUAUGUUUCAAAUAAUUUAUUGCCGUAGGAUGGGACUGCGGCCUAUCAGUUUGUUGGUGAGGUAAUGGCCCACCAAGACUAUUACAGGUACGGGCUCUGAGAGGAGUAGCCCGGAGAUGGGUACUGAGACACGGACCCAGGCCCUAUGGGGCGCAGCAGGCGAGAAAACUUUGCAAUGUGCGAAAGCACGACAAGGUUAAUCCGAGUGGUUUCUGCUAAAGGAACCUUUUGCCAGUCCUAGAAACACUAGUGAAUAAGGGGUGGGCAAGUUCUGGUGUCAGCCGCCGCGGUAAAACCAGCACCUCAAGUGGUCAGGAUGAUUAUUGGGCCUAAAGCAUCCGUAGCCUGCUUUGCCAGUUUUCGGUUAAAUCCAUACGCUUAACGUAUGGGCUGCCGGAAAUACUACAAAGCUAGGGAGUGGGAGAGGUAGACGGUACUCGGGAGGAAGUGGUAAAAUGCUUUGAUCUCUCGAUGACCACCUGUGGCGAAGGCGGUCUACCAGAACACGUCCGACGGUGAGGGAUGAAAGCUGGGGGAGCAAACCGGAUUAGAUACCCGGGUAGUCCCAGCUGUAAACUAUGCAAACUCGGUGAUGCAUUGGCUUGAUGCCAAUGCAGUGCCGCAGGGAAGCCGUUAAGUUUGCCGCCUGGGAAGUACGUACGCAAGUAUGAAACUUAAAGGAAUUGGCGGGGGAGCACCACAAGGGGUGAAGCCUGCGGUUCAAUUGGAUUCAACGCCGGA
This 913-nucleotide ribosomal RNA is filed under the name uncultured archaeon. RNAcentral's name for it is "bacterial SSU rRNA". It matches the Rfam family "Archaeal small subunit ribosomal RNA", at positions 1 to 922 of the family's 1478-position model. The record is from RNAcentral.